AUGAGGAAAUGUAUUAAAGGUUGC
RNAcentral lists this non-coding RNA (24 nucleotides) under Cricetulus griseus (Chinese hamster). The record is from RNAcentral. Lineage: Eukaryota; Metazoa; Chordata; Mammalia; Rodentia; Cricetidae.